CGCGGCCUAUCAGCUUGUUGGUGGGGUAAUGGCCUACCAAGGCGGCGACGGGUAGCCGGCCUGAGAGGGUGCACGGCCACAUUGGGACUGAGAUACGGCCCAGACUCCUACGGGAGGCAGCAGUGGGGAAUAUUGCACAAUGGGCGCAAGCCUGAUGCAGCGACGCCGCGUGGGGGAUGAAGGCCUUCGGGUUGUAAACUCCUUUCGCUAGGGACGAAGCUUUUUGUGACGGUACCUAGAUAAGAAGCACCGGCUAACUACGUGCCAGCAGCCGCGGUAAUACGUAGGGUGCGAGCGUUGUCCGGAAUUACUGGGCGUAAAGGGCUCGUAGGUGGUUUGUCGCGUCGUCUGUGAAAUUCUGGGGCUUAACUCCGGGCGUGCAGGCGAUACGGGCAUAACUUGAGUGCUGUAGGGGUAACUGGAAUUCCUGGUGUAGCGGUGAAAUGCGCAGAUAUCAGGAGGAACACCGAUGGCGAAGGCAGGUUACUGGGCAGUUACUGACGCUGAGGAGCGAAAGCAUGGGUAGCGAACAGGAUUAGAUACCCUGGUAGUCCAAGCCGUAAACGGUGGGCGCUAGGUGUGAGGGUCUUUCUACGACUUUCGUGCCGUAGCUAACGCAUUAAGCGCCCCGCCUGGGGAGUACGG
Molecule: ribosomal RNA, 645 nt
Filed under: uncultured bacterium
Lineage: Bacteria
Description: bacterial SSU rRNA
Rfam family: Bacterial small subunit ribosomal RNA
Source: RNAcentral